CAGCAGCCACGGGAAUACAGAGGGUGCAAGCGUUAAUCGGAAUUACUGGGCGUAAAGCGCGCGUAGGUGGUUUGUUAAGUUGGAUGUGAAAGCCCCGGGCUCAACCUGGGAACUGCAUCCAAAACUGGCAAGCUAGAGUACGGUAGAGGGUGGUGGAAUUUCCUGUGUAGCGGUGAAAUGCGUAGAUAUAGGAAGGAACACCAGUGGCGAAGGCGACCACCUGGACUGAUACUGACACUGAGGUGCGAAAGCGUGGGGAGCAAACAGGAUUAGAUACCCCCGUAGUCCCUGUCUCUUAUAC
RNAcentral lists this ribosomal RNA (301 nucleotides) under uncultured bacterium. RNAcentral's name for it is "partial 16S ribosomal RNA". It matches the Rfam family "Bacterial small subunit ribosomal RNA", at positions 509 to 807 of the family's 1533-position model. The record is from RNAcentral.